Molecule: ribosomal RNA, 468 nt
Filed under: uncultured bacterium
Lineage: Bacteria
Description: partial 16S ribosomal RNA
Rfam family: Bacterial small subunit ribosomal RNA
Source: RNAcentral
GACGAACGCUGGCGGCGUGCUUAACACAUGCAAGUCGAACGGAAAGGCCCUGCUUUUGUGGGGUGCUCGAGUGGCGAACGGGUGAGUAACACGUGAGUAACCUGCCCUUGACUUUGGGAUAACUUCAGGAAACUGGGGCUAAUACCGGAUAGGAGCUCCUGCUGCAUGGUGGGGGUUGGAAAGUUUCGGCGGUUGGGGAUGGACUCGCGGCUUAUCAGCUUGUUGGUGGGGUAGUGGCUUACCAAGGCUGUGACGGGUAGCCGGCCUGAGAGGGUGACCGGCCACAUUGGGACUGAGAUACGGCCCAGACUCCUACGGGAGGCAGCAGUGGGGAAUAUUGCACAAUGGGAGGAAGCCUGAGGCAGCAACGCCGCGUGCGGGAUGACGGCCUUCGGGUUGUAAACCGCUUUCGCCUGUGACGAAGCGUGUGUGACGGUAAUGGGUAAAGAAGCACCGGCUAACUACGUG